AAGAGAUUUAGACAUUUUCUGGCCUUCAAUAUGCAAAUGACCUGCAUGAAAGAAAUAAUUCACCCAUUGGGGACAGUCAAAAUAGGCCUCACUUUGUGCCAACUCAUUAUCGUGAUGAGGGAAUGCCAAAUCAAUUCCACCAGAGUGAAUAUCAAUAUUGGAACCAAGUAGAGCGCUAGCCAUGACAGAACAUUCGAUAUGCCAACCAGGACGUCCUUUGGACCAAGGACUAUCCCAAGAGGGUUCACCAGGUUUACUGGCCUUCCAAAGCGCAAAGUCUCCCGGACGCUUUUUACCGGUGAGAGCAGCCAAGGAACCCUCGCCCUCAGCAAUUAACUCUCGAUUUCCUUUAUUCCAGGGCUCCAAUUUAGCAUAAAAAUGACCACCUUUUUCGAAAGCCUCUGUGUCGAAGUAAACGCUACCGUCUGUAACUGGAUAAGCAUAACCGCGAUCGAUAAUGCGCUGAACAAAAUCUACGAUUUCAGGAACAUAUUCCGAAACUCGCGUAACAGCAGUAGGUGGCAAGACAUUCAGAUUAGCCAUGUCCUUGUUGAAGUCAUCUUCCCAAUAAGCUGCAAGUUUACGAAAGAUUGCAGGAUCAGUCACGGUGCUACCCAAUUCUGCAUCAAGCAAUGGGACCAAAACAUCUUGUACCUUGGGCCAAAACCCAUCCAAAGAAAUGAUUUCAGAAGCUUCACUCACCUGAAGAGCGUCCAAAGCAGACUUUAAAGCAUCCACAUGCAUGGGUAACUUGGGAUUGUUGAUAGCUAAAGUGGGAAUAUCAUGGGAUGCGAGCCAUUGAGGCCAUUCACUCAUCGAGGAGGGAGGUUCAGGAAGAUUUUUCUUGGCAUAUGCAAACCAAGCCUCAGUAACCUUUUCACGAGCUUCUGAAUGGGAUUUGUUAGUACCUUGCUGCU
Non-coding RNA from Schizosaccharomyces pombe (fission yeast), 917 nucleotides. NCBI's taxonomy places the organism in Eukaryota, Fungi, Ascomycota, Schizosaccharomycetes, Schizosaccharomycetales, Schizosaccharomycetaceae. The record is from the annotation of a GenBank genome assembly.